UAGUGUUGUCUACAUCAACUA
This 21-nucleotide non-coding RNA is filed under the name Arabidopsis thaliana (thale cress). Lineage: Eukaryota; Viridiplantae; Streptophyta; Magnoliopsida; Brassicales; Brassicaceae. The record is from RNAcentral.